GCGCGGCUCGACGGGCCGGGACGGGACGGGCCGGGACCGGCGCGCGCCUGCCCGCCCGCGCUCCCCUCCGCCCUCCGCGGGCCACCCGGCGCGCCUUCGAGGCGUCGCGCGGCGGCGGCGGGAGACGCGGGUCCUCGCGAGGCCCCGGGGCCGCGCCCGAGGGAGCAGCCGGCGGGGCUUCCUUCGGGGGGUUGGGGGCGGCAGCGCCCUGGCGAGGCGAGACGCGCCUCCAGCUAGGCCGGGCUUCGGGCAACGGCCUCGGCCCCGGGAAGGAGCGAGCGAAGUUUCCGGACGGCCCCGGCCCGUUGCGCCGGUUGGCGGAGAGGCUUGGGAGGGGGGCCGGGGGCGCGUCCGUGGGCGCAGGGGGCCUCAGGAGGCGCCCAGGCUAACGCGGGCUUCGCAGUUGGACCUCGGAAGCGGGGCGAAGGCGGACCUGGGCCCGCCCCACCCCGGGGCGAAGGGGAACGACCGCUGGGGACCGGGAGACCCGACCGAAAGCUACCUGAGCGUCGGCACUCGAGCGGGGAAAGCGGUGUAGUAGAGCUUUAGAAGUUAACUAAAGGCUUGCAGUAACAACCUCCAGAGUAAAAGCAGCCAAAUCUCAGCAACCUUUGUAGCAUUUUCUCCUACUCGACUUAUAUCUUGCCCCCCUGAAGCUCUUUGAUACGUCUGAGUCUGAGAAAUGACAAUCACAUUCAUGGUAUCUGUACCAAGAAGAGAGCAGACAGGACUGGAGCUCUUUCAAAGGCGAAUCCUAAGGACGACUGUGGAGGCCUCCUAACAUGUGGGUCUGUAGAAGAAGACGCGGGGCACUUUAAGGAUGAUUUUAGCCUUUCCAGCUACAGGGGAGCUCAGCCACUGGGACUGAGCCACCUUCUCUUAGCCAAAGGUCUUUUUAUUGUUCUCCAGGUCACAGCUUUUCAAGUUGAUUUCUGCAUCCUAACUAAGCUUCCAAAGGGACACUGUCAAAUGCAAAUCACAGUGUGCUGGAUUUUUCCCAACUGAAUUCCACUUUGUACCCCUGGACAGCUCAGACAGGACUCGAGUUAAACGAAGGUGCUGAAGACAAGGGCAGAUUAAGGCUGUUUGCCUGCGUUCAGGAGCCCGCUGUGGCUGUGCAAGGCGCUCUCCCUACAGAUGACGGUUGAAGAGGGCAAUAGAUUAACCAAAGACCUGAACAAUGAAGGGCUUUGAAAAGUGCCAGCAUGUUGUAGGAACCCACACAGGCACACACAUGCAUUGGACCACUCAGGUGCUCACGGAGUCCUACCUAACACUCGGGCUCUGUGCAAGCAGGAAGCAAAAGCUAUGUACACUUGGAAACUGCCUGACUGUUGAAGGCAUAUGCCAAGAUAGUCAUAGAGCUCCUUGACAAAGACUAAGAUGCUUACUGCCUCCUGGUGCUUAAGGUAAUCCCUAGCCAGUCAUUUGCCAAGAGGGAAACUCACCAAGUAGAGACGUUAGUCACACAUAGUGCAGAUGCACACUUUACAGACUUAGAUCAGGUUGGGCAUUGGUGGUGCACACCUUAAAUCGCAGCACUCCCGCGGCUGAGGCAUUCGGAUAUCUGUGAGUUUGAGGCUAGCCUGGUCUACAGAGUGAGCUCCAGGACAGCCAGGGCUGUAACACGGAGAAACCCUGUCUCUAAAAACCCAAAAUAAAACGAAAUUAGAUCGGAAAAGUCACUAGGCAAACACAGCAACUAGUUCAACAAACAAUAAUAACCUUGGGAAAGGAAAAAAAUCUGACUUUGGGAGCUACCACAUUAUUAGACAUGUCCACCUCCAAGUAAAUUGUGAGAUAUGUAAAGAAACAAAGUGUGGUCCAUACGAAGGAAGUAAAAGCUAGUAAUACAAACAGCUCUUGGGGGCUGGAGAGAUGGCUCAGCGGUUAAGAGCACUGACUGCUGUUGCCAAGGACCCAGGUUCAGAUCCCAGCACCCACAUGACACACACUUGUAACUGCAGUUUCAAGGGAUCUGAUGAGUGUGAGCACACAUGAGCACACACACUAAAAAUAACAAAUUUUUAAAAACUGACUUAGUUGCUACUAUUAAAAUACUAAAGGGAGUCUUUGAGCUGAUAGGAAAGCCAUUAAGCAAUAAUUCAGAUUCUCAUGAAUUAAAAAACACCAGUAAAGAUAAUUAUGGGUAAAUGAAAAGUUUGUCACUCCUUCCAUUUGAUUAUAGAGAUGAUAAUUACAAAUAUUGCAAGUUAUAAAUGCAGGGCUCAGGGGUUAAACUCCUUCCAGAUGACCUGGGGUUCAAUUCCCAGAACCUACAUGGUAGCUCACAAUUGUUUGUACAUCAGUCCCAGGUGACCUGAUGCCCUCCUCCUGCAGGGUUUACAAAUUAUAACAAUGUACAGAUCAUGCAAAGAAUGUCCUCUAGCUUUAAUGACAUGAAACUAGAAAUCAGUAUCAGGCACAAUGUAGGGAAUUCACAAACGUGGAAAUUAUGCAGCACGCUCUUAAAUCAUAAGUUAAAGGAGAUCUCCCAAAGGAGGCUAGAAAAUAAGACAAAUACAAAAGAAGGAUUGCAGAGACAGCUCAGACAGAGUACUUGCUUCUCUUCUAGAGGACCCAGGUUCAGUGUUUUAGCAACUACAUGACAGCUCACAACUAUAAUUCCAUUUCCAAGGAACCCAAUACCUUCCGGCCUCUGAGGACACUGCAUGUACACGGUGAGCAGACAUAUGUGCAAGCAAAACACCCCUACAUACAAAAUGCAUACUUGAAAAAACUAAAGAACUUGUGAGGUGUAAUGGAAACAAUGUUUAGGGGAAAUGAACAGCUGUCAUCUCAAAUCAAUAGCCUAAUGUACCUUAGGAACUAGAAUAGUAGUUUUCAAAAAAGGAGAUACUGCAGAUUAGAGUAUUAGAGAAAUACAACAGAGGCUAGAAAAUAAUACAAUGAAUCAUUAGAACUAAAACGUGGUUCUUUAAUAUUUUAAAAACAUUACCAGAUCUUUACCUAGAAUGACAAAAAGGACUAAAAUUAUUAGUAACCAAGACUAAAAGGGGUCACUAUUACUGAAUUUACAGAAAUAAGGAUUAUAAAUGUAAGUUCCACUUUCUAGUUUUUGUAUCUGGUGCUUGGACAGACCACUCACUGGUGGAUUGCCUUUCCCUCGCAAAGCACUCGCCCGAGCCUACUCCUACAACCGCCCCUUUCCUUGCCACAGUUUACCAUGGGCUCUAACUUUAUUUCCCUUCUUCAAUUGCCACAGGUCCAGGUUUCAGACACUGAGACAGCCAGUCCUUAUAUUCCCCACAGGCUGGUGCUGUUAUUCAAAUUAGGCUAUCCUAAUUACCCGCUCAUCACCUGUUCUUUCUCAAGGACAUCUCUCACAAUAAAGGCUCUUUCCUCCGC
This is a long non-coding RNA of Mesocricetus auratus (golden hamster), 3369 nucleotides long. RefSeq lists it as uncharacterized. NCBI's taxonomy places the organism in Eukaryota, Metazoa, Chordata, Mammalia, Rodentia, Cricetidae. The record is from RefSeq and is a predicted model, not a curated record. The transcript is spliced from 2 exons.